UGCCGGGUCGUCUAACGGUAGGACUACGGUUUUUGGGGCCGUCUAUGGGGGUUCGAUUCCCUCCCCGGCAG
Molecule: transfer RNA, 71 nt
Filed under: Candidatus Zhuqueibacterota bacterium
Lineage: Bacteria; Pseudomonadati
Description: candidate division KSB1 bacterium (marine sediment metagenome) tRNA-Gln
Rfam family: tRNA
About the family: Transfer RNA (tRNA) molecules are approximately 80 nucleotides in length. Their secondary structure includes four short double-helical elements and three loops (D, anti-codon, and T loops).
Source: RNAcentral